Molecule: ribosomal RNA, 304 nt
Filed under: uncultured Comamonas sp.
Lineage: Bacteria; Pseudomonadati; Pseudomonadota; Betaproteobacteria; Burkholderiales; Comamonadaceae
Description: bacterial SSU rRNA
Rfam family: Bacterial small subunit ribosomal RNA
Source: RNAcentral
AUUGAACGCUGGCGGCAUGCUUUACACAUGCAAGUCGAACGGCAGCACGGACUUCGGUCUGGUGGCGAGUGGCGAACGGGGGAGUAAUACAUCGGAACGUGCCCAGUUGUGGGGGAUAACUACUCGAAAGAGUAGCUAAUACCGCAUGAGAACUGAGGUUGAAAGCAGGGGAUCGUAAGACCUUGCGCAACUGGAGCGGCCGAUGGCAGAUUAGGUAGUUGGUGGGAUAAAAGCUUACCAAGCCGACGAUCUGUAGCUGGUCUGAGAGGACGACCAGCCACACUGGGACUGAGACACGGCCCAG